RNAcentral lists this ribosomal RNA (432 nucleotides) under uncultured bacterium. Its description in RNAcentral is "partial 16S ribosomal RNA". It matches the Rfam family "Bacterial small subunit ribosomal RNA", at positions 29 to 507 of the family's 1533-position model. The record is from RNAcentral.
ACGAACGCUGGCGGCAGGCCUCACACAUGCAAGUCGAGCGAGGACUUCGGUCCUAGCGGCGGACGGGUGAGUAACGCGUGGGAACGUGCCCUUUGCUUCGGAAUAGCCCUGGGAAACUGGGAGUAAUACCGGAUGAGCCCUUUGGGGGAAAGAUUUAUCGGCGAAGGAUCGGCCCGCGUUGGAUUAGGUAGUUGGUGGGGUAAUGGCCUACCAAGCCGACGAUCCAUAGCUGGUUUGAGAGGAUGAUCAGCCACACUGGGACUGAGACACGGCCCAGACUCCUACGGGAGGCAGCAGUGGGGAAUCUUAGACAAUGGGGGAAACCCUGAUCUAGCCAUGCCGCGUGAGCGAUGAAGGCCUUAGGGUUGUAAAGCUCUUUCAGCUGGGAAGAUAAUGACGGUACCAGCAGAAGAAGCCCCGGCUAACUCCGUG